UACGGAGGAUGCGAGCGUUAUCCGGAUUUAUUGGGUUUAAAGGGUGCGUAGGCGGCUUAGUAAGUCAGCGGUGAAAUUUUGCAGCUUAACUGUAACAGUGCCGUUGAUACUGCCAGGCUAGGAUUUGGUUGUUGUGGGUGGAAUGUGUGGUGUAGCGGUGAAAUGCAUAGAUAUCACGAGGAACUCCGAUUGCGCAGGCAGCUUACUAAACUACUACUGACGCUCAGGCACGAAGGCGUGGGGAUCAAACAGGAUUAGAUA
Molecule: ribosomal RNA, 261 nt
Filed under: uncultured prokaryote
Description: partial 16S ribosomal RNA
Rfam family: Bacterial small subunit ribosomal RNA
Source: RNAcentral